GACGAACGCUGGCGGCGUGCUUAACACAUGCAAGUCGAACGGAAAGACCCUGCUUUUGUGGGGUGCUCGAGUGGCGAACGGGUGAGUAACACGUGAGUAACCUGCCCUUGACUUUGGGAUAACUUCAGGAAACUGGGGCUAAUACCGGAUAGGAGCUCCUGCUGCAUGGUGGGGGUUGGAAAGUUUCGGCGGUUGGGGAUGGACUCGCGGCUUAUCAGCUUGUUGGUGGGGUAGUGGCUUACCAAGGCUUUGACGGGUAGCCGGCCUGAGAGGGUGACCGGCCACAUUGGGACUGAGAUGCGGCCCAGACUCCUACGGGAGGCAGCAGUGGGGAAUAUUGCACAAUGGGCGGAAGCCUGAUGCAGCACCGCCGCGUGCGGGAUGACGGCCUUCGGGUUGUAAACCGCUAUCGCCUGUGACGAAGCGUGAGUGACGGUAAUGGGUAAAGAAGCCCCGGCUAACUACGUG
RNAcentral lists this ribosomal RNA (468 nucleotides) under uncultured bacterium. Its description in RNAcentral is "partial 16S ribosomal RNA". It matches the Rfam family "Bacterial small subunit ribosomal RNA", at positions 28 to 507 of the family's 1533-position model. The record is from RNAcentral.